RNAcentral lists this ribosomal RNA (497 nucleotides) under uncultured bacterium. RNAcentral's name for it is "partial 16S ribosomal RNA". It matches the Rfam family "Bacterial small subunit ribosomal RNA", at positions 28 to 507 of the family's 1533-position model. The record is from RNAcentral.
GAUGAACGCUGGCGGCGUGCCUAAUACAUGCAAGUCGAGCGAACGGACGAGAAGCUUGCUUUUCUGAUGUUAGCGGCGGACGGGUGAGUAACACGUGGAUAACCUACCUAUAAGACUGGGAUAACUUCGGGAAACCGGGGCUAAUACCGGAUAAUAUUUUGAACCGCAUGGUUCAAAAGUGAAAGACGGUCUUGCUGUCACUUAUAGAUGGAUCCGCGCUGCAUUAGCUAGUUGGUAAGGUAACGGCUUACCAAGGCAACGAUGCAUAGCCGACCUGAGAGGGUGAUCGGCCACACUGGUACUGAGACACGGUCCAGACUCCUACGGGAGGCAGCAGUAGGGAAUCUUCCGCAAUGGGCGAAAGCCUGACGGAGCAACGCCGCGUGAGUGAUGAAGGUCUUCGGAUCGUAAAACUCUGUUAUUAGGGAAGAACAUAUGUGUAAGUAACUGUGCACAUCUUGACGGUACCUAAUCAGAAAGCCACGGCUAACUACGUG